GUGCUCUGCAGUUACAUUCCUAUGAGGAGACAGACUUGGUCUCAUGGGUAAAGAGACAUUAUUUUUUUGGAGAAGCAGAACUUCAGUUGACUUCCUCACAAUCAAUGGGAUUGACCAAUCCAACUGUCAAGUCAGCAGGAACAAGAGGAUGGCCACAUCGCAUCUCAGCAACAUGUGCGGUGGCUCCAGAUUUCCCUUUCUGGAAGUUGAAGAGAUUUGUCCCAAUAUUUUCACAGCCCAGAUAAUGACAUAUGAGGUCAAGAUGCUCUCCAAGAACUCUUCCAACCAUGGGCGGGUGCUACAGUGUCUCCCUGGGAAUUUGAAGAAGGCACUGUCUCACCAAGGGUGCUGAUGCUGAUCAUUCUGCAAAGAGAUAAAAAUGUCAAGGAUCACUGGAUUCCACUAUGUUUGAGGGGAAAAGAAGGAACUAUAAACCUAAAUUAUAGCCA
Molecule: long non-coding RNA, 449 nt
Filed under: Fukomys damarensis (Damara mole-rat)
Lineage: Eukaryota; Metazoa; Chordata; Mammalia; Rodentia; Bathyergidae
Description: lncRNA (ENSFDAG00000023641.1)
Source: RNAcentral